This 460-nucleotide ribosomal RNA is filed under the name uncultured Bacteroidota bacterium. RNAcentral's name for it is "uncultured Bacteroidetes bacterium partial 16S ribosomal RNA". Lineage: Bacteria; Pseudomonadati; Bacteroidota. The record is from RNAcentral.
GACUACCGGGGUAUCUAAUCCUGUUUGAUCCCCACACUUUCGUGCCUCAGCGUCAAUCUUGGCUUUGUGAGCUGCCUUCGCAAUCGAUAUUCUGUGUGAUAUCUAAGCAUUUCACCGCUACACCACACAUUCCACCCACAGCAACCAAAUCCUAGCCCUACAGUAUCAACGGCACUGUUACAGUUAAGCUGCAAAAUUUCACCGCUGACUUAUAAGGCCGCCUACGCACCCUUUAAACCCAAUAAAUCCGGAUAACGCUCGCAUCCUCCGUAUUACCGCGGCUGCUGGCACGGAGUUAGCCGAUGCUUAUUCAUAUGGUACUCUCAUCGGUCUACGCGUAGACCUUAUUGCUCCCAUAUAAAAGCAGUUUACAACCCAUAGGGCCGUCUUCCUGCACGCGGCAUGGCUGGAUCAGAUUUCCAUCCAUUGUCCAAUAUUCCUCACUGCAGCCCCCCGUAGG